CACCUGCCACGGUGUUUCUUAUUUGUCAUCUGUGAUCCCUCUGAGUGUGUCCUAAAAGCCAGAGGAGGGUCUUAAUCUUAUCACUCUGCAUACCCGGUUAAAAAAGUCACCGCUCGCCACUGGUGUAUUGUCCCAAAGAAACCAGACCAGAACCAGACCAAGGUUUUAUAGUCGUUUUUCAGCGUUUCUUCUUGUUACGUGAAUAUUUCAGGUGUUUCACAUGUCUCGCACACUUGCCAGGAUCUAGAGCACACAUUGAGAGGAGAAAGGAUUGUUGAGAAAUGUUCAAAAUUUUACCCAUGUUCCUUAUUUUGAUCCAUGUGAGAAACAUGCAAAACGGUACAAUAACGCUCUUACCUGUCCACUAAAAUGGGUCAGGCGCUGCAGUGUUAUGAGUGCAAACUGGGUUUCUGGUAUCUUUGCAUUACAAGCAAAAAGACGUGAUGCUGGUAAGCACUGCUUCAGCGGAAUAGGGAAAGCUGGUGGAUUAGUGGAUAUUAAGAUGAAAGGAUGUCUUGAAGUGUCCAAUUGCAACAAAACUGUAGAGGCGAAUUUCCCGUCCAAUUCAAGCACCAAGGUACUGUAUACCAAAUGAAGAAGACGUGCUGCUCUACUGACCUGUGUAACUCGGCUCCGGGUCACUUUCACAUGUCUGCCGUCAGCAUGGCCUUCGCUACCAUCAGCUCUGUGUUCACGGUCAAAUUCCUCAUUUGAGGAGGAUUAUUUCAGCUCACACACAAUAAAUAUAUAUAUACAACAACAUCACUGAGCAAAUCAUGCAUACUAAACAAGCCAAAUUAAUUUGUUGCAAAAUAAUUUAUGGAAUGAAUACUCAAGAUAGGUCACACACUGGAAUUUAAAAAG
Molecule: long non-coding RNA, 864 nt
Organism: Sinocyclocheilus anshuiensis
Lineage: Eukaryota; Metazoa; Chordata; Actinopteri; Cypriniformes; Cyprinidae
Exons: 3
Source: RefSeq, a predicted model, not a curated record